This 221-nucleotide long non-coding RNA is filed under the name Salvia miltiorrhiza (redroot sage). RNAcentral describes it as "long non-coding RNA (SMIL_LNC011760)". The record is from RNAcentral. Lineage: Eukaryota; Viridiplantae; Streptophyta; Magnoliopsida; Lamiales; Lamiaceae.
UCAAAUAAAUCAAGAACACCAACCUUAUGACUUCACAGAUCAAGUAUGGAAUAAAUUCCAUCUUCCACCCAACUAUAUCACCAUAAUCAACAAAACUCAAGGGAUUUAAUCAUCACAAAACAGAACUAAACACUCUUUUAUGCUCUCCAUUUAUUUCCAACACACAAAGUCGAUUUUCAAACAAAUAUCUCAAUAUACACUCGACUUCACUUUUUUUUUUC